ACUUUAGUAUAUUUGUUGAACCAGCCAUUACCAGUCAUUACACACUGAUAUUCUAAAACUCUUUACUGAAUCCACAUUUUGGUUAGUGUGUAAAAUCUGGUUUGUUACAACUGAACAUGCACACCAUUACUUCAUUAACCUGAGUUCUCCAAAAAGUUAGCAGAAGAUUUUUGGAUGCUAUUGAAUGGGAUAUAAUCUGCUAAAAGUAAGA
RNAcentral lists this long non-coding RNA (211 nucleotides) under Homo sapiens (human). RNAcentral describes it as "HSALNT0220620". The record is from RNAcentral. Lineage: Eukaryota; Metazoa; Chordata; Mammalia; Primates; Hominidae.